UUCAAACCAUGUCCAUUUCCCAGACACAUCUCCCGCACUGCAGACUGCAAACCUAUUCUCCUCGGUCUGAGACUUUGUUUUGUGUCAGUUAAAAAGGUUACUAGAGACUUACAGUCCAUACAAAGACCUGUACAGAGCAAGCGGGCUGGAGUAGCAAACAUUUCAAAGCGAUACUUGUGUCCAGUUGGAAAUAUACUAGCUGCGACAAGUAGAAGUUACUGUAGGACCUGAGCCCUAGUACCAUGCCUCUGGACUACCUGGCAUGAUAACUCCUUGCUGUCCCCAGUCCACCUGGCCGUGCUGCUGCUCCAGUUUCAACUGUUCUGUCUGCGGCUAUGGAACCCUGACCUGUUCACUGUGAUUACUAUUAUUUGACCAUGCUGGUCAUUUAUGAACAUUUGAACAUCUUGGCCAUGUUCUGUUAUAAUCUCCACCCGGCACAGCCAGAAGAGGACUGGCCAUCCCUCAUAGCCUGGUUCCUCUCUAGGUUUCUUCCUAGGUUUUGGCCUUUCUAGCGAGUUUUUCCUAGUCACCGUGCUUCUACACCUGCAUUGCUUGCUGUUUUGGGUUUUAGGCUGGGCCUCUGUACAGCAGAAAGGGCUAUAUAAAUACAUUUGAUUUGAUUUGAAUAUAUUUUGAUAUGUUUACUGAUAAUCAAUUGUUAGUCACUGAAAUCAAACAGGUUCUGACCAGAUUACUCUGACCAACAGUGAAGUUAGGAUCAGUUUCUCUUGCAGUUAUGGAUCAUGUGUCACUUGACUUGAUGUGAACAAAACAUCUUUGGAGGGAUAAUGGAAACUGUUACCACUUACCAAAUUUAAGAGUUUCCGAGUGAUGCUGUAUAUGAGCUUAAUUAGCAUGAUGCCUGGACCUAUAUCCUGAUUGACAAUCACUUUACUCUUGAGUAAUUAGGCUCUCAGAAUAGCCUAAAUAUAAUGCUGAUUGUGCACACUGUAGAACACAUUGUAUUGGCCAGGGCCCAGUCCCCCCCUGCAUGUUAUGGAACAUUAGCCUCUAUCUAUGUGAAUGUUGUAUUGUUUCUAAUAUACAAUGUUUUGUGAAUAUCUCUCUGUUUCUUUGAAGAAAUGUGCCUAAUGAUACACUAUGUUGCUCUGUGAGCAGUCUGGAGUACUCAUUAAUUCGUUAUAUAAAGGUCAUAACAUAAAUGUUAGUAAUGUGGUUUUGAUUCAUCUUUGAUUAUUAACAAUGCUCCUUGGUCUCUAAGGUCGAUAUUAAUGCUACGAAGGCUGUGAAAGGAUAACCAGAAGGCUAGCUUUCCAACUCAUUGGAAGCUGUGGUAUGAAAGUCUAGUAGUAGACAGCUAUAUAAUAAUCAGUGGUAGGUAAUUGAGACAUGAAUGAGUAACACCA
This is a long non-coding RNA of Oncorhynchus tshawytscha (Chinook salmon), 1370 nucleotides long. The record is from Ensembl. Lineage: Eukaryota; Metazoa; Chordata; Actinopteri; Salmoniformes; Salmonidae.